UUCCAGACUCCUACGGGAGGCAGCAGUGGGGAAUAUUGCACAAUGGGGGAAACCCUGAUGCAGCGACGCCGCGUGAGCGAUGAAGUAUUUCGGUAUGUAAAGCUCUAUCGGCAGGGAAGAAGAUGACGGUACCUGACUAAGAAGCCCCGGCUAACUACGUGCCAGCAGCCGCGGUAAUACGUAGGGGGCAAGCGUUAUCCGGAUUUACUGGGUGUAAAGGGAGCGUAGACGGCGAUGCAAGCCAGAUGUGAAAGCCCGGGGCUCAACCCCGGGACUGCAUUUGGAACUGUGUGGCUGGAGUGUCGGAGAGGCAGGCGGAAUUCCUAGUGUAGCGGUGAAAUGCGUAGAUAUUAGGAGGAACACCAGUGGCGAAGGCGGCCUGCUGGACGAUGACUGACGUUGAGGCUCGAAAGCGUGGGGAGCAAACAGGAUUAGAUACCCCCGUA
This 446-nucleotide ribosomal RNA is filed under the name uncultured bacterium. RNAcentral's name for it is "bacterial SSU rRNA". It matches the Rfam family "Bacterial small subunit ribosomal RNA", at positions 329 to 792 of the family's 1533-position model. The record is from RNAcentral.